CUACUGAGACGUUUACUUGACGUAUUCUUAGAUUUAAUUUGUUUCUCAUUGUCGAAAAUGAACCUGAAAGUAAACAUUUCGUUUGGAUGGUGUACACCAAUGUCUGUCCUGUACAUGUGACUAAUGCAACUUGAAACACACACACACACACACACACACACACACUGACAGUAGUAUACUCACUGACAUACAGGGAGUGUACUAAGCCUAUUAUCUGAAGGACUAUACACACUAUCUAGACAUCGACCAAAGUCUCAGGUAGAUACAGAGCAGAACAUCUGUACUCAGCAGGUAGCCUAGUGGUUAGAGCGUUGGACUUGUAACCCAAAACUUGCUAGAUCGAAUCCCUGAGCUCUGCCAAAGGUUGCUAGAUCGAAUCCCUGAGCCGUGCCAAAGGUUGCUAGAUCGAAUCGCUGAGCUGUCAAGGUACAAAUGUGUCGUUCUGCCCCCUUCCUAGACCGUCAUUGAAAAUAAGAAUAUUUUCUUAACCGACUUGCCUAGUUAAAUAAAAACUCUGCACACACUCACCUUCUGUAUAGUAAUUUACAACACAAAGGAAACGUAUUAUAUCAAUUUCCUUUAGUCCAACUGUACAUUAGGCCUAUUAGAUAACCCGACUGACAGGCGGGGUGUUUAACAUACCGUCCUGUCUAUGCAUAUAAGUUAGGCUAUAACAGAGGGCUAUUAUAAUACGGUAGUUUCUUUGAGUCCAAAUGGAUUCAUACUAAUUCAUUGAAGACUGACACGCAAGUCUUGCUGAGUUUCUAUUGGUUGGCAACUUUCAAUGAAACCUUGACGUUAUUACAGAGUUAUUGCAUUAGCCAAAUAAAACUACGAUGAGAUGGAUACUGUCGCCUACAGAGCUACAACAAAAUGUUACAGCUUCUAUUAUGUAUCAAAGUGUUAUUUCAUUGUCUUGCUAUAGACAUAGGCAUAUAUUGAGUUACAUAGGCCUAGAGAGUAUUGCAAUAGGCUAAUUUACAGAAGACACGGAGAUCACCAGGAUAGAUGGACCUGUUCCAGAGCGAGUUGUUAUUGACAUAAUAAUACAGGCUCUUACCCUCCAGUGGGCAACAACUUGUCGGCUACUUUUUCUUGGCUACUUUGUCUCCCUGGCUUGAAUCACUAUAUAUCGCCGUAUAUCCCUCCCGUGAUACUUCCACUGGUGUUCACCGGCUCGUCAGUACUUGUCUACGGUGUACAUUCCGGUCUCCCGGUGGGACUCCACCUUAUCCGCCCAAAACGCCCCGGAGCUCCACACUACAGGCCCGACCUGUCUGCCUCAGUCUGAUCCUACCGCUCCGCGCGUCCGCUUCCACUCCGCG
Oncorhynchus tshawytscha (Chinook salmon) is the source of this 1325-nucleotide long non-coding RNA. The record is from Ensembl. Lineage: Eukaryota; Metazoa; Chordata; Actinopteri; Salmoniformes; Salmonidae.